This 905-nucleotide ribosomal RNA is filed under the name Crepidotus sp. OKM 26899. RNAcentral's name for it is "eukaryotic LSU rRNA". It matches the Rfam family "Eukaryotic large subunit ribosomal RNA", at positions 67 to 958 of the family's 3401-position model. The record is from RNAcentral. Lineage: Eukaryota; Fungi; Basidiomycota; Agaricomycetes; Agaricales; Crepidotaceae.
AACAAGGAUUCCCCCUAGUAACUGCGAGUGAAGCGGGAAAAGCUCAAAUUUGAAAUCUGGCAGUCUUUGAUUGUCCGAGUUGUAAUCUAGAGAAGUGUUACCCGCGUUGGACCGUGUACAAGUCUCCUGGAAUGGAGCGUCAUAGAGGGUGAGAAUCCCGUCUUUGACACGGACUACCAAGGCUUUGUGGUAUGCUCUCAAAGAGUCGAGUUGUUUGGGAAUGCAGCUCAAAAUGGGUGGUAAAUGCCAUCUAAAGCUAAAUAUUGGCGAGAGACCGAUAGCGAACAAGUACCGUGAGGGAAAGAUGAAAAGAACUUUGGAAAGAGAGUUAAACAGUACGUGAAAUUGCUGAAAGGGAAACGCUUGAAGUCAGUCACGUUGGCUGGAAAUCAACCUUGCUUUUGCUUGGUGUACUUUCUAGUUUACGGGUCAGCAUCAGUUUCGACCAGUGGAAAAAGGCAUGAGAAAUGUGGCUCCCUCGGGAGUGUUAUAGUCYUGUGUUGUAUACAUUGGUUGGGACUGAGGAACUCAGCACGCUGCAAAGCAGGGGUUCGCCCACUUUCGUGCUUAGGAUGCUGGCAUAAUGGCUUUAAUCGACCCGUCUUGAAACACGGACCAAGGAGUCUAACAUGCCUGCGAGUGUUUGGGUGGAAAACCCGAGCGCGUAAUGAAAGUGAAAGUUGAGAUCCCUGUCGUGGGGAGCAUCGACGCCCAUACCUGAUGUUUACUGACGGAUAUGCGGUAGAGCAUGUAUGUUGGGACCCGAAAGAUGGUGAACUAUGCCUGAAUAGGGUGAAGCCAGAGGAAACUCUGGUGGAGGCUCGUAGCGAUUCUGACGUGCAAAUCGAUCGUCAAAUUUGGGUAUAGGGGCGAAAGACUAAUCGAACCAUCUAGUAGCUGGUUCC